UACGGAGGGUGCGAGCGUUGUCCGGAAUCAUUGGGCGUAAAGGGCGCGUAGGUGGCCCGGUCAGUUCGUGGUGAAAGCGCGGGGCUCAACCCUGCGUCGGCCAUGAAUACUGCCGCGGCUGGAGCACUGUAGAGGCAGGCGGAAUUCCGGGUGUAGCGGUGGAAUGCGUAGAGAUCCGGAAGAACACCGGUGGCGAAGGCGGCAUUCUGGACCAUAACUGACACUGAGAGACGAAAGCCAGGGGAGCAAACGGG
Molecule: ribosomal RNA, 254 nt
Filed under: uncultured bacterium
Lineage: Bacteria
Description: partial 16S ribosomal RNA
Rfam family: Bacterial small subunit ribosomal RNA
Source: RNAcentral